This 252-nucleotide ribosomal RNA is filed under the name uncultured bacterium. RNAcentral describes it as "partial 16S ribosomal RNA". It matches the Rfam family "Bacterial small subunit ribosomal RNA", at positions 524 to 775 of the family's 1533-position model. The record is from RNAcentral.
UACGUAGGCAGCGAGCGUUGUUCGGAAUUACUGGGCGUAAAGAGUGUGUAGGCGGUGCUCCAAGUCUGGUGUGAAAUCUCCCGGCUUAACUGGGAGGGUGCGCCGGAAACUGGAGUGCUAGAGGGUGGGAGAGGUAAGCGGAAUUCCUGGUGUAGCGGUGAAAUGCGUAGAUAUCAGGAGGAACACCUGUGGUGUAGACAGCUUACUGGACCACUUCUGACGCUGAGACACGAAAGCGUGGGUAGCAAACAG